Molecule: ribosomal RNA, 253 nt
Filed under: uncultured bacterium
Lineage: Bacteria
Description: partial 16S ribosomal RNA
Rfam family: Bacterial small subunit ribosomal RNA
Source: RNAcentral
UACAGAGGUCUCAAGCGUUGUUCGGAUUCAUUGGGCGUAAAGGGUGCGUAGGUGGCGGGGUAAGUCUGGUGUGAAAUCUCGGGGCUCAACCCCGAAACUGCACUGGAUACUGCCUUGCUCGAGUACUGGAGAGGAGAUUGGAAUUUACGGUGUAGCAGUGAAAUGCGUAGAUAUCGUGAGGAACACCAGAGGCGAAGGCGGCUACCUGGACAAUUGCUGACGCUCAGGCACGAAAGCGUGGGGAGCAAAAGGG